Molecule: unclassified non-coding RNA, 424 nt
Filed under: Hevea brasiliensis (rubber tree)
Lineage: Eukaryota; Viridiplantae; Streptophyta; Magnoliopsida; Malpighiales; Euphorbiaceae
Source: RNAcentral
GGGUGUAGGAGCAUUCUUCUUUAUCCAGGAGGGGCUACUAAUGUAUGCUGUGCAUUAUGCAAUACAGUCACCUCAGUUCCUCCUCCUGGAACAGAUAUGGCUCAACUUAUAUGUGGAGGUUGCAGGACAUUGCUCAUGUACGCACGUGGGGCAACGAGUGUUAGAUGCUCAUGCUGUCAUACAGUAAACCUUGCACCUGCUACAAACCAGGUUGCACAUGUUAACUGUGGAAACUGCCGAACAACACUUGUCUUUCCUUAUGGAGCUCCAUCUGUCAAGUGUGCGAUCUGUCACUAUGUUACUAAUGUUGGUAUAUCCAAUGUGAGGGUUCCCAUACCAGUGCACAGGCGUAAUGGAACAAUAAGCUCUGGGAUGCCCCCUUCAUCAUCAUCUCAGAGCCAAACAGUAGUAGUUGAGAACCCCG